This 253-nucleotide ribosomal RNA is filed under the name uncultured bacterium. Its description in RNAcentral is "partial 16S ribosomal RNA". It matches the Rfam family "Bacterial small subunit ribosomal RNA", at positions 524 to 776 of the family's 1533-position model. The record is from RNAcentral.
GACAGAGGUCUCGAGCGUUGUUCGGAUUCAUUGGGCGUAAAGGGCGCGUAGGCGGCGGGGUAAGUCUGGUGUGAAAUCUCGGAGCUCAACUCCGAAAUUGCACUGGAUACUGCUCUGCUAGAGGGCUGGAGAGGAGAUCGGAAUUCACGGUGUAGCAGUGAAAUGCGUAGAUAUCGUGAGGAAGACCAGUGGCGAAGGCGGAUCUCUGGACAGCUCCUGACGCUGAGGCGCGAAGGCUAGGGGAGCAAACGGG